CCCUACGGGGUGCAGCAGGCAGCGUAUGCUAAGGCAUUGAGGGAUCCGGCGACAAGUCUGGCCUCAGCUGCUCUUGGCACGACAAGCAGGUCUGCACAAGAAGGCCUUCAGGCUCAAGUCCAUGGUGCCGAGUCCACCGGAUACCAGAACUGGGGAGCAAGUCUUGGCACAGCCAAGGGGCUUACCCAGUCAAACGCAAGCAUGGGAACAACAAUCAUGCGCGCAAUGUUGAUGCCCGGCGGAAUUGGGAAUAUGGUCCUUGGAAAAGUGAUUGACGCCAACUCAAACCCUCGGAAGUACCUGGAGGAUGAACUCAAAAAAGCACUGUCGGCUGAUACCGGCUCUAAGCCUGGCGGGGGGGC
This 362-nucleotide ribosomal RNA is filed under the name uncultured prokaryote. RNAcentral's name for it is "partial 16S ribosomal RNA". The record is from RNAcentral.